GACGAACGCUGGCGGCGUGCCUAAUACAUGCAAGUUGAGCGCUGAAGGUUGGUACUUGUACCGACUGGAUGAGCAGCGAACGGGUGAGUAACGCGUGGGGAAUCUGCCUUUGAGCGGGGGACAACAUUUGGAAACGAAUGCUAAUACCGCAUAAAAACUUUAAACACAAGUUUUAAGUUUGAAAGAUGCAAUUGCAUCACUCAAAGAUGAUCCCGCGUUGUAUUAGCUAGUUGGUGAGGUAAAGGCUCACCAAGGCGAUGAUACAUAGCCGACCUGAGAGGGUGAUCGGCCACAUUGGGACUGAGACACGGCCCAAACUCCUACGGGAGGCAGCAGUAGGGAAUCUUCGGCAAUGGACGAAAGUCUGACCGAGCAACGCCGCGUGAGUGAAGAAGGUUUUCGGAUCGUAAAACUCUGUUGGUAGAGAAGAACGUUGGUGAGAGUGGAAAGCUCGUCAAGUGACGGUAACUACCCAGAAAGGGACGGCUAACUACGUG
This 497-nucleotide ribosomal RNA is filed under the name uncultured bacterium. RNAcentral describes it as "partial 16S ribosomal RNA". It matches the Rfam family "Bacterial small subunit ribosomal RNA", at positions 28 to 507 of the family's 1533-position model. The record is from RNAcentral.